This 764-nucleotide ribosomal RNA is filed under the name uncultured Streptococcus sp. RNAcentral describes it as "bacterial SSU rRNA". It matches the Rfam family "Bacterial small subunit ribosomal RNA", at positions 28 to 776 of the family's 1533-position model. Lineage: Bacteria; Bacillati; Bacillota; Bacilli; Lactobacillales; Streptococcaceae. The record is from RNAcentral.
GACGAACGCUGGCGGCGUGCCUAAUACAUGCAAGUAGAACGCUGAAGGAGGAGCUUGCUUCUCUGGACGAGUUGCGAACGGGUGAGUAACGCGUAGGUAACCUGCCUGGUAGCGGGGGAUAACUAUUGGAAACGAUAGCUAAUACCGCAUAAGAGUAGAUGUUGCAUGACAUUUGCUUAAAAGGUGCAAUUGCAUCACUACCAGAUGGACCUGCGUUGUAUUAGCUAGUUGGUGGGGUAACGGCUCACCAAGGCGACGAUACAUAGCCGACCUGAGAGGGUGAUCGGCCACACUGGGACUGAGACACGGCCCAGACUCCUACGGGAGGCAGCAGUAGGGAAUCUUCGGCAAUGGACGGAAGUCUGACCGAGCAACGCCGCGUGAGUGAAGAAGGUUUUCGGAUCGUAAAGCUCUGUUGUAAGAGAAGAACGAGUGUGAGAGUGGAAAGUUCACACUGUGACGGUAUCUUACCAGAAAGGGACGGCUAACUACGUGCCAGCAGCCGCGGUAAUACGUGGGUGGCAAGCGUUAUCCGGAUUUAUUGGGCGUAAAGAGAGUGCAGGCGGUUUUCUAAGUCUGAUGUGAAAGCCUUCGGCUUAACCGGAGAAGUGCAUCGGAAACUGGAUAACUUGAGUGCAGAAGAGGGUAGUGGAACUCCAUGUGUAGCGGUGGAAUGCGUAGAUAUAUGGAAGAACACCAGUGGCGAAGGCGGCUACCUGGUCUGCAACUGACGCUGAGACUCGAAAGCAUGGGUAGCGAACAGG